UUAGGCGUUUAGGGUUUUAUCAGUUGAUAGUUCAGUCAUUCAUUCACUUGACUUCACUUUUCACUCCCCUCUCUGUUUUACACUGUCUUUCAACAAUAAAUAAGAUAUCCGACUGUUUUCAAAGCCUGUAAUUUUGUCGCGCCAGAUGCAUUACACAACGUGUUGAAGAAUAAAUUGGAGCAUUCUUAUUAGGAAAGAUGAGGUUUGUCAAGAUCUCUAAAGCAAACCUUCAAUGGCGGCUAAUUCCACAUCAUUGGGUUUUAAUGAGUCGUUUAUAGACAUGUUUUUAAGUUUCAGAGUUUAAUCCCGAGGUAAUCAGGCUAAUCGUGGCUAGGUGUGGUAGCAUGGGACUAU
Molecule: long non-coding RNA, 354 nt
Organism: Erigeron canadensis
Lineage: Eukaryota; Viridiplantae; Streptophyta; Magnoliopsida; Asterales; Asteraceae
Exons: 4
Source: RefSeq, a predicted model, not a curated record